CACUCCUACGGGAGGCAGCAGUGGGGAAUUUUGGACAAUGGGCGAAAGCCUGAUCCAGCAAUGCCGCGUGAGUGAAGAAGGCCUUCGGGUUGUAAAGCUCUUUUGUCAGGGAAGAAACGGUGAGAGCUAAUAUCUUUUGCUAAUGACGGUACCUGAAGAAUAAGCACCGGCUAACUACGUGCCAGCAGCCGCGGUAAUACGUAGGGUGCAAGCGUUAAUCGGAAUUACUGGGCGUAAAGCGUGCGCAGGCGGUUUUGUAAGUCUGAUGUGAAAUCCCCGAGCUCAACCUGGGAAUUGCAUUGGAGACUGCAAGGCUAGAAUCUGGCAGAGGGGGGUAGAAUUCCACGUGUAGCAGUGAAAUGCGUAGAUAUGUGGAGGAACACCGAUGGCGAAGGCAGCCCCCUGGGUCAAGAUUGACGCUCAUGCACGAAAGCGUGGGGAGCAAACAGGAUUAGAAACCCCAGUAGUCCCAUGAU
This 476-nucleotide ribosomal RNA is filed under the name uncultured organism. RNAcentral's name for it is "partial 16S ribosomal RNA". It matches the Rfam family "Bacterial small subunit ribosomal RNA", at positions 334 to 801 of the family's 1533-position model. The record is from RNAcentral.